UGAGCAAUCUGCCCUACUCAUCGGAAUAAGCGUUGGAAACGACGUCUAAUGCCGAAUACGACCUCCUUUCGCAUGAUCGGAGGUGGAAAGCUCCGGCGGAGAAGGAUGAGCUCGCGGCCUAUCAGCUUGUUGGUGAGGUAAUGGCUUACCAAGGCGACGGACGGGUAGCCGGCCUGAGAGGGUGACCGGCCACACUGGGACUGAGACGACGGCCCAGACUCCGUACGGGAGCA
RNAcentral lists this ribosomal RNA (233 nucleotides) under uncultured bacterium. RNAcentral's name for it is "partial 16S ribosomal RNA". It matches the Rfam family "Bacterial small subunit ribosomal RNA", at positions 118 to 347 of the family's 1533-position model. The record is from RNAcentral.